This 309-nucleotide ribosomal RNA is filed under the name Triticum aestivum (bread wheat). RNAcentral describes it as "partial small subunit ribosomal RNA". Lineage: Eukaryota; Viridiplantae; Streptophyta; Magnoliopsida; Poales; Poaceae. The record is from RNAcentral.
AUGCGCCACAGCCAUUGCGCAUGCUGCCUCGCGCAGAUGGGCUGGCUCCGGUGCCCACGCCCGGGAUGCUUCCGCCGUCAGGACCCAACGGCCACACAACACCUCUGGAACCCCACUGUUUCUAGCUCACCGCGGCCACCUCAGGCCGUUCACCGCUGCAACAUGAGGCCGUUCAACGACGUAGCACUCAGGUCGUCCACCUCUGCCACUCCCGUGUACUCCCUCCCAUCCUGUCUCUUAUCUCAAUACUACUCUUUCUCUGUUCCAUCUUUUUUAAGAAGUGCUCUGUACCAACACUUGAACUGCUGA